UGUCGUCCAUCCAAUGUCUUGAGUGUGGCGCCCCUGGCGAACAAUUAGUUAAACUAAUAUUCGAUUUUACUUCUCAAAAAUAACUUUUUAAAAUUUAAAAACAAAAAAAAAAUAUUGCAAUUUCUAAUUUUACAACGUUUAAGAUGUAUUAAAUCGUUAUUUGUCUAUAUUUAUUUAUUAUAAAGAUAAUACAUUUGAAAGUAACCAUCCAUCCGAAACAAAAUGAGACUAUUUAAAAUUAAUUAAUAACGAAUAAUUAAAUUACUCGAAUGUAUGUAAAUAUAAUUAUUAUGAAAUUAAAUUGUAAUUUUAAAAUAUUUUAAUUAUUAAAAAUAAUUGUUUUGUAACAUAAACAAUGUCAUUGUAAUAAGAUGUUACGAACCAGAAACAUGCUUCACAUUAUAACAAAUAAGUUUUGUAGUAAAGAAAAUAUCACAGGGGACAUAUGGCGGUCAGUUUAACGUGCAGGUGGAAAUCAUUAACGGUGGAAUAUAACACGAAUUCGUUUCGUGGUAUUAAGGAAAUAGAAACAAAAUGACAUCAUUUCUCACAAUCAUGUUAUCAAUAUUGGAUGUCAAAACAGCAAAAUUUUUUUCUGAAGGAACGAAGAAAAUAAUCGGUAUUUAAUAUGAAAAAUAAUCCAAAUUUAAUAAUGCAG
Molecule: long non-coding RNA, 658 nt
Filed under: Centruroides sculpturatus (bark scorpion)
Lineage: Eukaryota; Metazoa; Arthropoda; Arachnida; Scorpiones; Buthidae
Description: uncharacterized LOC111632720, transcript variant X2
Source: RNAcentral